RNAcentral lists this ribosomal RNA (172 nucleotides) under uncultured soil bacterium. Its description in RNAcentral is "partial 16S ribosomal RNA". It matches the Rfam family "Bacterial small subunit ribosomal RNA", at positions 335 to 524 of the family's 1533-position model. The record is from RNAcentral.
ACUCCUACGGGAGGCAGCAGUAGGGAAUUUUCCACAAUGGGCGAAAGCCUGAUGGAGCAACGCCGCGUGCAGGAUGAAGGCUUUCGGGUCGUAAACUGCUUUUAUAUGUGACGAAUAUGACGGUAGCAUAUGAAUAAGGAUCGGCUAACUCCGUGCCAGCAGCCGCGGUAAU